This 497-nucleotide ribosomal RNA is filed under the name uncultured bacterium. RNAcentral's name for it is "partial 16S ribosomal RNA". It matches the Rfam family "Bacterial small subunit ribosomal RNA", at positions 28 to 507 of the family's 1533-position model. The record is from RNAcentral.
GAUGAACGCUGGCGGCGUGCCUAAUACAUGCAAGUCGAGCGAACAGACGAGGAGCUUGCUCCUCUGACGUUAGCGGCGGACGUGUGAGUAACACGUGUAUAACCUACCUAUAAGACUGGGAUAACUUCGGGACACCGGAGCUAAUACCGUAUAACAUGCUGAACCACAUGGUUCAACAGUGAAAGACGGUCGUGCGGUCACUUAUAGAUGGAUCCGCGCCGCAUUAGCUAGUUGGGAAGGUAACGGCUUACCAAGGCAACGAUGCGUGGCCGACCUGAGAGGGUGAUAGGCCACAUUGGAACUGAGACACGGUCCAGACUCCUACGGGAGGCAGCAGUAGGGAAUCUUACGCAAUGGGCGAAAGCCUGACGGAGCAACGCCGCGUGAGUGAAGAAGGUCUUCGGAUCGUAAAACUCUGUUAUUAGGGAAGAACAAAUGUGUAAGUAACUAUGCACGUCUUGACGGUACCUAAUAAGAAAGCCACGGCUAACUACGUG